GUUAUUAAUUUUAUUAGAUAAUUUUAGUUAAAAGAAUUAAUUUUUUGUUUUAUUAUUUUAUAAGAAAAGAUAGGUUUUGUUAUAGUAAAAUAGUAUUGUGGAAGAAAUGAUUUAAGUAUUAAAAAGAAAAGAAUUCUUGUACCUUGUGUCUCAGGGUUUAAUAAUUAAUUUUAAAUAAUUUUAAUUUCCCGAAUUUAGAAGAGCUAAUUUUAUAUGUAUUUUAUUGUAAAAUAAAUAUUUAAAAUAUAAUUUUAGAAAUGAAAUGUUAUUCGAUUCUUAAUAUAUCUGGUUAUUUAAGAAAUAAAUUUAAUUUAUUUGUUAUAUAAUAAAUUUUUUAAUUUUUAGUAAUUUAUUUGUACCAAUUGAUAUUUUUAGGGAUGAGCUUAAAAAUAGAUUUUAAUAAAUUAAUUAAAAUAAAUUAUUUAUAGGAUUGGAAUUUUUCAUUGUUAAGAAUAUGUUAUAGUUUUUAAUUUUUUAAAUAAGAUUUUUAUUAAUUUUUAAUUUUUUAUUAAAUUAUUUAUUUUAAUUUUAAAAAUAAAGUAAAUAUGUUAAAAUUAGUAUAUUAUUAAUUUGUAAGUAUAAUUUUAAAGUUUAGGUAAGUUAAAGGAAUUCGGCAAAAGUUUUUUCACCUGUUUAUUAAAAACAUGGCCUUUUGUUUAAGAUUUAAGGUCUGGCCUGCCCACUGAGGUGUUAAAUGGCCGCGGUAUUUUGACCGUGCUAAGGUAGCAUAAUCAUUAGUUUUUUAAUUGAAAGCUUGUAUAAAUGGUUCAAUGAGAAAAGAUCUGUCUCUAAUUUAUUUUUAUAGAAAUUUAUUAUUAAGUGAAAAAGCUUAAAUGUUUUUAAAAGACGAGAAGACCCUAUAGAGUUUAAUAUAUUUUAGAUUUUUUAGAUAUUUGGAAUUAAUUUAUUUUAAUUUAAAAUUUAUUUGGUUGGGGUGAUUGAAAAAUUUAAUUAACUUUUUUUAAAUUAAAACAUUAAUUAAUGAAUAAUUGAUCCAUAAUUUAUGAUUAAAAGAAAAAAUUACCUUAGGGAUAACAGCGUAAUUUUCUUGGAGAGUUCUUAUUGAUAAGAAAGUUUGCGACCUCGAUGUUGGAUUAAAAUUUAAUUUUGGUGCAGUAGCUAAAAGUUUAGGUCUGUUCGACCUUUAAAAUUUUACAUGAUCUGAGUUUAAACCGGCGUGAGCCAGGUUGGUUUCUAUCUUUAGAAGAUUUUAAUGUUUUAGUACGAAAGGAUUGGGCAUUAGGUUAAUUAAUUUAAAUUU
Molecule: ribosomal RNA, 1261 nt
Filed under: Urodontus sp. URO01
Lineage: Eukaryota; Metazoa; Arthropoda; Insecta; Coleoptera; Anthribidae
Description: 16S ribosomal RNA
Rfam family: Bacterial large subunit ribosomal RNA (bases 1031-1189)
Source: RNAcentral